GGCAAAGUGUUUGUCCUAUUAAUUUAUCUUUUCUUUUAUUCUUUAUAUCUGCUAAAAAUUGAUAAAUGCGUACAAAUUCAUAAAUAAAAUCUAAAAAUUACAAAACAAAAUUUGUUCAGCUCCACAUAUGUAGAUCUAUGUAGUAAACAAAAAAUAUUAUAAAUUUUAGUAUAUUUUUUUGCUGGAGAUGCAUGCCUAUGCUUUUUAGUGUAAAAUUUAAAUUGUAUUUAUCUUGCUCCAAUUAUUAUAAAAAAUUUAUGGUAGCCUAUUUAAUGUGAUGUUUGAUUUGUAGUAAAAGUUUUAGAACCAUUUCUGCAUAUCUCACUGAUUUACUAAUUUACCUAAAUUUAUGCUUGCUAAAUAGUUUAGCAUCAAUUUAAGUGUGUAAAAAUAUAAAAAAAAUACUUCCACUACCUUUGCACAAUGUGUUUUUAUAUCAUAUGAACACUUCAUAAGCCCAUAUAUUUAUAAUCUACAUACAUUUAACUGAUAUAUCAUAUUUUAUAGAAAUCCUAAUCUAAAUAAAAAAAUAAAGCUACCAACAAACUUCUCAUGUUUUAAUAUAAUACUAUUUUUGUUAUUAAAUAAAUAUGUCUCCAAGCUACAUAAUAUUGUAAAUAUUAAAUAUCUCAUACCAUACCAAAAUUUUCUUCUGCUUCCGUCUCGGUCAGAAUCGGUCUCUCCGUCUGUUUAAGGCUGGUAGGAGAAAAAAAAAUAAAAUAUUUUUUAAGGUUCCCAAUACAAAAUCUCCGAUUUACAUUUUCUAUCCGUUCUCGGAUAGCCUCGGCCGUCCGCUUGUAAAAGAGCAAAAAGGAAAUAAUUUUUUUUCAGGGUUCCUAAUACAAAAUCUCUUAUAUCCUAUUAAUUUUCUUUUCUUUUAUUCUUCAAUUUGGCUAAAAAUUAUAAAUGCAUAGUAAUUCAUAGAAAAUCUAAAUAUUACAAAACAAAUUUUGUUCAGCUCCACAUAUGUAGAUUCAUAUAGUAAACAAAAAAUAGGUGCAAAGUAGCAAAGUGUUUGUCCUAUUAAUUUAUCUUUUCUUUUAUUCUUUAUAUCUGCUAAAAAUUGAUAAAUGCGUACAAAUUCAUAAAUAAAAUCUAAAAAUUACAAAACAAAAUUUGUUCAGCUCCACAUAUGU
Molecule: long non-coding RNA, 1136 nt
Filed under: Sorghum bicolor (sorghum)
Lineage: Eukaryota; Viridiplantae; Streptophyta; Magnoliopsida; Poales; Poaceae
Description: long non-coding RNA (SBIC_LNC001816)
Source: RNAcentral